RNAcentral lists this ribosomal RNA (409 nucleotides) under [Sporobolomyces] sp. 'nakasei'. RNAcentral describes it as "partial large subunit ribosomal RNA". It matches the Rfam family "Eukaryotic large subunit ribosomal RNA", at positions 169 to 608 of the family's 3401-position model. The record is from RNAcentral. Lineage: Eukaryota; Fungi; Basidiomycota; Microbotryomycetes; Sporidiobolales; Sporidiobolaceae.
GAUAGACCGCAACAAGUCUCUUGGAACAGAGCGUCAUAGUGGUGAGAACCCAGUACACGAUGCGGAUGCCUAUUACUUUGUGAUACACUUUCGAAGAGUCGAGUUGUUUGGGAAUGCAGCUCAAAUUGGGUGGUAAAUUCCAUCUAAAGCUAAAUAUUGGCGAGAGACCGAUAGCGAACAAGUACCGUGAGGGAAAGAUGAAAAGCACUUUGGAAAGAGAGUUAACAGUACGUGAAAUUGUUGGAAGGGAAACACAUGCAGUGAUACUUGCUAUUCGGGGCAACUCGAUUGGCAGGCCCGCAUCAGUUUUCCGGGGCGGAAAAGCAUAGAGAGAAGGUAGCAGUUUCGGCUGUGUUAUAGCUCUUUAUUGGAUUCGCCCUGGGGGAUUGAGGAACGCAGCGUGCUUUUU